ACCGUAGACAGCGGGUGCGAAAGCUUAAUUUCCCGCCGAGGUACAAUAUAAAAAUAUUGGCCUUGCCCGUCUGCGCGGACAGGGCUUUUUUUAUGG
RNAcentral lists this small RNA (96 nucleotides) under chicken gut metagenome. RNAcentral's name for it is "Ribosomal protein L10 leader". It matches the Rfam family "Ribosomal protein L10 leader", at positions 18 to 134 of the family's 138-position model. From Rfam's summary of the family: This family is a putative r-protein leader autoregulatory structure found in B. subtilis and other low-GC Gram-positive bacteria. It is located in the 5' untranslated regions of mRNAs encoding ribosomal proteins L10 and L12 (rplJ-rplL). A Rho-independent transcription terminator structure that is probably involved in regulation is included at the 3' end. The record is from RNAcentral.